AGAGAGAGACAUGCGCGCAUAUCAAUAAGCGGAGGAAAAGAAACUAACUAGGAUUCCCUUAGUAACGGCGAGUGAAGCGGGAAGAGCUCAAAUUUGAAAUCUUCAAGGUUUUACCUUGACGAAUUGUAGUUUAAAGAAGUGUUUUCUGCUGGAGUUUUGGUAAAAGUUCUUUGGAAUAGGACAUCAUAGAGGGUGAGAAUCCCGUAUUUGACCAUUAUUUCAGCUUUGUGAUACACUUUCAAAGAGUCGGAUUGUUUGGGAAUGCAGUCCAAAAUGGGUGGUAAAUUUCAUCUAAAGCUAAGUAUUGGCGAGAGACCGAUAGCGAACAAGUACCGUGAGGGAAAGAUGAAAAGAACUUUGAAAAGAGAGUUAAACAGUACGUGAAAUUGUCAAAAGGGAAGCGUUUGACACCAGUGUUGUUUUCUCGAAAAUCAAUUAAAAAUGGCUCGAUUUUGUAUUGUUGAGACCUUAAAAGCUCACUGUACAUUUUUCGUGUCUUUUUUAAUGCACUUUUCGUUUAACAAGUCAACAUCAGUUUCUUUUGUUGUAAAAGGGUCAUUGGAAGGUGGCUUUCUUUUCGGAGAAAGUGUUUAUAGCCUUUGGCCUCUGCAAUCGGGAGAGACUGAGGUCUGCAGCGUAGACUCUUCGGGGUUAGAUACAUUUGUGCUAAGUUAUAGCUUUUUAUAGACAACUUGUUGACUAUAAUUAGUCUUGUAGCUUACUCGCUUAUGCUAUUUUACCUACGCUUAGGAUGUUGAAGAUGUAGCACAUCAU
Molecule: ribosomal RNA, 774 nt
Filed under: uncultured Neocallimastigales
Lineage: Eukaryota; Fungi; Neocallimastigomycota; Neocallimastigomycetes; Neocallimastigales
Description: partial large subunit ribosomal RNA
Rfam family: Eukaryotic large subunit ribosomal RNA
Source: RNAcentral